This 75-nucleotide transfer RNA is filed under the name uncultured Alteromonadales bacterium. RNAcentral's name for it is "tRNA-Ala". It matches the Rfam family "tRNA". From Rfam's summary of the family: Transfer RNA (tRNA) molecules are approximately 80 nucleotides in length. Their secondary structure includes four short double-helical elements and three loops (D, anti-codon, and T loops). The record is from RNAcentral. Lineage: Bacteria; Pseudomonadati; Pseudomonadota; Gammaproteobacteria; Alteromonadales.
GGCCAUAGCUCAGCUGGGAAAGCGCCUGCCUUGCACGCAGGAGGUCAGCGGUUCGAUCCCGCUUGGCUCCCCAUU